Amphiprion ocellaris (clown anemonefish) is the source of this 3761-nucleotide long non-coding RNA. RefSeq lists it as uncharacterized. The record is from RefSeq and is a predicted model, not a curated record. Lineage: Eukaryota; Metazoa; Chordata; Actinopteri; Pomacentridae. The transcript has 3 exons.
GACGGGAGGGUGUCUCCCUCCUGGCCGCUAUUGGGCGCCGUGCCAGCGGUGCGGGCACCGUAAUUGCUGGGCGGUACUAUGCGCCCUUUAUAUUCAGGUGUGCAGCUGUGGAGCUUUCUGUCCUUCGCUCCCUGCUUGCUUCCGUGGUGGCUGUGGUUUGGCAUGACGGCGUUGGUGGACGCAGCCGUUCUCUGGUGUAUCCAGCUGUUGUGAUCGCCGUCAAGGCGCGCUGUCUGUAUAUCGUGGCUGAGUGCGGGGGUGAAUUCCCCGGGGUGAAACGGGGAUCUGCUGGAGUCCUGCUGGGCAUAGGAUCACAGGCUCGCGCUGGUUGUGUGUGCGAGCCGUAUUCUUGUGGCUCACACCCUCCAGUUGCCAGUUAACAACCCGGCAUAAUCUGACCGCCACCAUAACUUCAAGCCGAGCUGCUGUUUUGGUUUUCGUUAACAUUCGUCUUGUGAACCGUUCGUGUUUUUUUUUUUUUUUUUUUUUUUUUGUUUGUUUGGUUUUGUUUUGUUCGUUGCGGCUUGGAGCGGAUUUCUCAGCACGGCCGAGUGCCGCCUGCGUCCGCUCCGUGCAUAGGCUGGUUGUGUCGCUGCUGUGCCAGAACCUGUACAGCUGCAAGGGCUGCUUCAGUUGAUGAUGUUUUGUUUUUCUUUGUUAUUUGGAAAUCCAUUUAGGUAUUUACUUUGGGUAUUUUUGCUUGCUUUGUUGCAUUACUUGGUUUAAUUUUUUUUUGUUUUGUUUUCUUUGAGUUUAUUCAGCCUCAUGUAUUGAUUUAAUCCAUCAUUUAUUGUUCUUUGGUUUCGUUUUCUUUUGUCCACACCAGUUAUGGUUAGUUUGGGCACGUUUUAUUAAUCUUUGUCUCUGUCUUUUGUUUACAGGUGCUGUGGCUUACUGCAGCAGUUAUUCCCUGGUGGUGGUGUCUUUUUCACGGUCCCCCCUUUCUUUUGGGGUGCGUGCGUGUGUUUGUGUGUAUAUUAUUUGCAGUGUCACGGGUGAUUCAUUUGAGGAUUCCUCUCCCCUUUUGAUUUUCCUGCCGCAGGGUAAGCCCCAGCCCGAGUUUUUAUUCCUUGUUGCCCGUUCUUUCUUUUAGUUCAUAUAUGUUAACUGGUGUGUGACAUUAUUUCCUUUCAUAUAAUUUGUUAAUAAACAUUGUUAAAUUGGAACACGUCUCGCCCCCCUGUGUUAAUGGAACCUGUUAAGCCUUAAUUGGUUUAGUGACAGUGAAACACACCUGAGCUAGGAUUUCCUGGGUGCAAGUCCCAGGUGGCGUUGUUGGGACCAUAAUUGGUCUAAUUGGGUACAAACAUUCCUCGAAUCUCGCCACAAUUAGAAUGAACUUCUCAACCUGUAUUUCUCUGCUGUGUAUUUUAGCUUUUAAAAAAGUUAUUUUACUUGAAGGUUAAGGUAAACCCGUUCAGCUGCACUGAAGUUUAACAUUCAGCUGGUUUCAAUUAAACUGCGCUCAACAUUACCUCUCUGAAUCUCCAUAAUUUCAUUAAAUUCCUUCUCUCUUCCACUGCUCAAGUUCAAUCCAGUAUAUUAAGUGACAUUAAUAGUGAAUAAACUAACAACCAGCUAUUGUAUUUAUUUAUUAUUGCAUGUAUUUGUAGUAAAACAUGAGUUGAAACGUCCUACUUUUGGAUCUAGAACUGCACAAGCCGUUCAUUUUCAGUCACCUGAUGAGUUAAACUCCCCUUUUUAUGUGAGGUUGAAGCAGAAAGUCUGAGUUAACAAAGAAAGUUGUUUAUAAUGUGCGAUACCCGUUAUCUCUGACUGAGGCUUUAGUUUUUGAGCCGAUUUACACGUAGAAACUUUGUUCAGGAAAAUUUCUCAGUAGCUCAGAGGACAGGCUGCUUUUUACACAACCUUGUAAGAGAAUGUCUGUCAAUGCUUUCAGCAGAAUUUAUAAACACAACACUUCCUAAACAGAUAUUUUGAGGCUGUUUUUGCUAUCGGCAAAAAUCAAGUGUUUAUUUGAUGAACUUCAUUUCCUAAACCAUCCAGAAUUGGAGCUCAUAUCUUUGGCAGCUGUAAAGUUUCUGCUCCUUCAAAGUUCACAACACAAUGAAUGAAUUCCUAAAACACUCUCAAUGCUGGAGAGCGUUUGUGAUGCUGAAGCAGUGACCAGUUUUUCUGUUUCUUCUCUGGAGAUGCACAAUGAGGGACAUCUGCAGCGACUGAGAAAGAGUCUCACCACAUCCUGACAUGAGGAAAAAGACUUUAUUGAAGACUACAAUGAGAAAAACUAUCAGACAGCAGACGGCUGCAUUCAAGGUGAGCUCUGAACAUUUGAUCUGGAACAGGAAUUCAGUAACGGCAGCAUGAGCUUCAUUUCAGUCUGUAGCUGCUGAAUUCAUGGAUGAAUCAUCUGGCACUAGAGAAGAAGACCAUCAAACAUCCACGUCAGCUGAUGGAGGUCCAAGAGUCUCACCCAACAAACAACCUACAGAGUAGUGAUGUUAGGAGACGUGCUGAGGCUUCGAAGCGUGUGCCGAGUAUUGGAGAGGGCGUAUCAAGGCUUGCUUCAUUUAGGGGAGGGGCCAAAAUGAUGACGUCCGAAGCCUCGCUGCCUGGCUGAACCACGUGACCGCUUCGGAAAGUGGUUCAGAUUUUGCCUAGAGGUUUGACAGCAACACAAACCCCUCAGGCUCUGUUCAAAAUGUGGGUUUUUGAUGGAGAGUUUCGGUCAGUUGAGAGUUUGAAUAGCUUGAAUACUAGAGUUUGGAGAGUGUUUAUAUAGUCUGGAUAUAGUUUGGAGAGUUUAGAGAGUAGAAAAAUAGUUUGGAGAUUUAGGAGAGUGAGGAGAGAAGGAAGGAGCCAGCUAGGAAAAGGAGGAUUUCCCCUGUGUGGGGACAUUUCGAUUUGAUGAUUCUUAAUCAGGUAAGCUGAAUCUAACAUUAUUACAGAUGCAUUAGCUUUGGUUAUCAAGAACUGUAUUUUUCACUGUUAGGUGAGGUGUUUAUUGUGUGUGUCAAAAAAGAAAUCGUUUAAAACCAAAAACUGUUGAGAAACUGUUAUUUCUGAAUGAAAGGAAUAAAAUGUCCCCUUUCCUGUGCAUCGUUGUCCACGUUACACAGCAUAUUCAGUACGAUCUUCCUAGUUCCACACUUUCACUGUCCUCUGCCUGCUUAAGGCCAUGGCGUUUUCUUACAGUGACAGAAAAACAUUACACAACCUGCCACAUUAUAUGAUACUACCAUUUUGGGGAAAAUUUACACACACACAGAAUACAUGAAAAUAUAUUUUAUUCUACAUGUGAGAAUUUAUCUACAGAAAUUAUUUGGUCAUACAUUUUCUUGUAUUUCAUAGUUAUUCCCAACAGCCAUAACCGAUUAAAAAUUCAAUGCAUCAGAUGUGAUUCAGAUACAGCUGCCUGUGAUUAUACACCUGGCCAGUAGGUGGCUUCAUGUGUUCAUGAAGCUUCAAGAAAUUAACCGUUUCUUGAACCAAUUGGCUCAAGUGGCUCAAUGCGUCAUGAGGCUUCAUCUCACCAUCACUACUAUAGAGUGAAGACCUCAAAUCUGAUUGGAUGGCCUCCUAUUCAGCCACAUGUGUGAACAAAUGCCUCCAAGUUGAUUUGUUUUCUAAAAUAAAUCUAGUUUGAGUCCUAAUCUAUGCCUGUGUGUUUGCUUCUUUACACCGCUGUUAACAGUUUAGGCUGUUAGAUUGUUCCAGAUAAGACAAGUACAAGAUACUUAAGAGCCGUUCUACCACGAGCCUGACAGGAAGAACUCCAACAGCUACUGAAUGUUCCUGUG